Molecule: long non-coding RNA, 19971 nt
Filed under: Triticum aestivum (bread wheat)
Lineage: Eukaryota; Viridiplantae; Streptophyta; Magnoliopsida; Poales; Poaceae
Description: long non-coding RNA (TAES_LNC001459)
Source: RNAcentral
GAUGGGAUGAACUAACCCUAAUUUUUUUUGGCUUUUUCGUGGACUAUAGGUAUGAAGAACAGACUCGAUCUAAACUACGAAAAACUGUAAAAUCUCACCGAGCAACCUGGAAAUCUGAUACCACUUGAUAGAGGCGGGGUGUCCCGAUCUUUCGAUGAGAUGAUAACUAUCGAUUUGGUGAAGAUGACUUUGACGAUCCGACUACAAACGUGCACGACGUUGCGCCUUAGCAAUCGCUAAACCAACUCUGAGAGGUUAUUGACCACACCGGAGCACAAUCAACCUGACCACGAAGGUCUAUUCCUGCAAGCAAUCGAAGAACAAGCAAGAAUAUGAUAAAAGCAAUCUGAAUAUUGCGAGUAUAUAUGAGGUAUUGAUAAAGGUGGGGAUCCGUAAGCGGUCUUGGUCUGGUCGUUGGACACAAACGAAGUACACGAAGUUGCAAUGGCUAACUUUUAACUAAACAAAUCCCAAAGUCUAAACGAUGCCCUAAGGGCUGUAUAUAUGGAGGAAGAGGGGGGGAAUUUCGUGGCCCUUGGUGGAGGGGUCCGAAAUCAACCCUAUCUCUUGUUUCCCCACACAUACGGACUCUAAAAAUAGCCUAUACUUAUGUAUUUCGAAAUUACAUGGGCCUGACCCAAUAAUAAGGUGACGCAGCACCUAAAAUAGCCUCGGAACGAAAUUUAUGAAGUGGCAUCUUGUAUAUUUCGUCCAAAGCUUCAUGCACCCAUUAUGGUGGCUUCAAAGUCCUGAAAUCAUCACUUGUAACUCCGUUCUUGUUCUUGCUCCAAUGUUCAUCCUUCUCCAAGCUAGGCCCUUCAUUUGUAAGCAAAACAAAUGUAUCCAAUUUAGGCAGCAUCAUAUUCUCAUGAACAUUAGAAUCAUUACCAAGAAACGAAAGUACCUGGUAGUUUAGUUGGCGUGCACGAGCUCUAGUAAUUGGUCCAGUAUGUAUAGCAGCAGGGGCUGUGGGUGUAACAAUUGUAUUGAUGUCCUCAUCACGAAGGAGAUUAUGCGUCAAGUACAAGAGCUUCUCGUCAAAGGUUAUAUACGCGAAUCCCUUAGUCCUUGUGCUGUUCCUAUUAUUCUAGUGCCGAAAAAGGAUGGUACAUCACGUAUGUGUGUUGAUUGUAGAGGCAUUAAUAAUAUUACUAUUCGUUAUCGUCAUCCUAUUCCUAGGCUAGAUGAUAUGCUUGAUGAAUUGAGUGGCUCUACAAUAUUCUCCAAAGUUGAUUUGCGUAGUGGCUACCAUCAAAUUCGUAUGAAAUUGGGAGAUGAAUGGAAAAUAGCAUUUAAAACUAAGUUUGGAUUAUAUGAGUGGUUAGUCAUGCCUUUUGGGUUAACUAAUGCACCUAGUACUUUCAUGAGAUUAAUGAACGAAGUUUUACGUGCUUUCAUUGGACGAUUUGUGGUAGUUUACUUUGAUGACAUAUUGAUUUAUAGCAGAUCUUUGGAGGAACAUUUGGAACAUUUACGUGCUGUUUUUAUUGCUCUACGUGAUGCACGUUUGUUUGGUAACCUUGGGAAGUGCACCUUUUGCACCGACCGAGUAUCUUUUCUUGGCUAUGUUGUUACUCCACAGGGAAUUGAAGUUGAUAAAGCCAAGAUUGAAGCUAUUGAAAGUUGGCCGCAGCCCAAAACGGUCACACAAGUGAGGAGUUUUCUUGGCCUCGCUGGAUUCUAUAGGCGUUUUGUGAGAGAUUUCAGCACCAUUGCUGCACCUCUCAAUGAGCUUACAAAGAAAGAUGUGCCUUUUCUUUGGGGUACCGCACAGGAAGAAGCCUUCACGGUAUUGAAAGAUAAGUUGACACAUGCUCCUUUACUCCAACUUCCUGAUUUUAAUAAGACUUUUGAGCUUGAAUGUGAUGCUAGUGGAAUUGGAUUAGGAGGUGUGUUAUUACAAGAUGGCAAACCUGUUGCAUACUUUUCUGAAAAAUUGAGUGGGCCUAGUCUGAAUUAUUCUACUUAUGAUAAAGAAUUAUAUGCUCUUGUUCGGACUUUAGAAACAUGGCAACAUUAUUUAUGGUCCAAAGAAUUUGUUAUACAUUCUGAUCAUGAAUCUUUGAAACAUAUUAAAAGUUAAGCUAAACUGAAUCGUAGACAUGCUAAAUGGGUUGAAUUCAUUGAGACUUUCCCUUAUGUCAUUAAACACAAGAAGGGAAAAGAAAAUGUUAUUGCUGAUGCAUUGUCUCGUCGCUAUACUAUGCUUUCACAACUUGACUUCAAAAUAUUUGGUUUGGAGACCAUCAAAGAUCAAUAUGUGCAUGAUGCUGAUUUUAAAGAUGUAAUGCAGAAUUGUAAAGAAGGAAGAAUGUGGAACAAGUUUGUUGUUAACGAUGGAUUUGUGUUUCGUGCUAACAAGCUAUGCAUUCGAGCUAGCUCCGUUCGUCUUUUGUUGUUGCAGGAGGCCCAUGGAGGAGGAUUAAUGGGACACUUUGGCGUGAAGAAGACGGAGGACAUACUUGCUACACAUUUCUUUUGGCCAAAGAUGAGACGGGAUGUUGAGCGUUUUAUUGCUUGCUGCACUACAUGUCAAAAAGCUAAGUCACGACUCAAUCCUCAUGGUUUAUAUAUGCCUUUGCCUGUACCUAGUGUUCCUUGGGAGGAUAUAUCUAUGGACUUUGUUUUAGGUUUACCUCGAACAAAGAAGGGGAGGAAUAGCAUAUUUGUUGUCGUGGAUAGAUUCUCGAAAAUAGCACACUUUAUACCAUGUCAUAAAAGCGAUGAUGCUGUUAAUGUUGCUGAUUUGUUCUUUCGUGAAAUUAUUCGCUUGCAUGGUGUGCCAAAUACUAUUGUUUCAGAUCGUGAUACUAAAUUUCUUAGCCACUUUUGGAGAUGUUUAUGGGCUAAGUUGGGGACUAAACUACUUUUUAGUACUACUUGUCACCCCCAAACUGAUGGACAAACUAAAGUAGUCAAUAGAACAUUGUCUACUAUGCUUAGGGCUGUUUUGAAGAAUAAUAAGAAAAUGUGGGAGGAAUGCUUGCCUCAUAUUGAAUUUGCUUAUAAUCGUUCAUUGCAUUCUACUACUAAGAUGUGCCCUUUUGAAGUUGUGUAUGGUUUCCUACCUCGUGCACCUAUUGAUUUGUUGCCUCUUCCAUCUUCGGAGAAGGUUAAUUUUGAUGCUAAACAACGUGCUGAAUUGAUUUUAAAAAUGCAUGAGUUAACUAAGGAAAACAUUGAGCGCAUGAAUGCUAAAUAUAAACUUGCUGGAGAUAAGGGUAGAAAACAUGUUGUGUUUGCACCUGGAGAUCUUGUUUGGUUACAUUUGCGUAAGGAUAGAUUUCCUGAUUUGCGCAAAUCAAAGUUAAUGCCACGUGCUGAUGGUCCCUUUAAGGUGUUAGAGAAAAUAAAUGAUAAUGCAUAUAAACUGGAGCUGCCUGCAGAUUUUGGGGUUAGUCCCACUUUUAACAUUGCAGAUUUGAAGCCUUAUUUGGGUGAGGAAGAUGAACUUCCGUCGAGGACGACUUCAUUUCAAGAAGGGGAGGAUGAUGAGGACAUCAAUACAAUUGUUACACCCACAACCCCUGCUGCUAUACAUACUGGACCAAUUACUAGAGCUCGUGCACGCCAACUAAAUUACCAGGUACUUUCGUUUCUUGGUAAUGAUUCUAAUGUUCAUGAGAAUAUGAUGCUGCCUAAAUUGGAUACAUUUGUUUUGCUUACAAAUGAAGGGCCUAGCUUGGAGAAGGAUGAAGAUUGGAGCAAGAACAAGCAUGGAGAUGAUGGCAUGCGCAAGGGGAACAAGAACGGAGUUACAAGUGAUGAUUUCAGGACUUUGAAGCCACCAUAAUGGGUGCAUGAAUCCUUGGACGAAAUAUACAAGAUGCCACUUCAUAAAUUUCGUCCCGAGGCUAUUUUAGGUGCUGCGUCACCUUAUUAUUGGGCCAGGCCCAUGUAAUUUCGAAAUACAUAAGUAUAGGCUAUUUUUAGAGUCCGUAUGUGUGGGGAAACAAGAGAUAGGGUUGAUUUCGGACCCCUCCACCAAGGGCCACGAAAUUCCCCCCCCCCCUCUUCCUCCAUAUAUACAGCCCUUAGGGCAUCGUUUAGACUUUGGGUUUUGUUUAGAUUAAAAGUUCGCCAUAGCUGCAACUUCACGUACUUCGUUUGUGUUCAACGACCAGACAAAGGCGUCACAGAACCCCACCUUGAUCAAUAAAGCUUUCAUCUUAUAUUCGCAAUAUCCAGAUUGCAAUCUCAGUUUCUUGCUUGUUCUUCGUUUGCUCGCAGGAAACAGACCCUCGUGGUCAGGUUGAUCGUGCUCCGGCGUGGUCAAUAACCUCUCGGAGUUGGUUUAGCGAUUGCUAAGGCGCGACGUCCUCGCACGUUCGUAGUCGGAUCGUCAAAGUCGACUUCCACCAAAGCGAAAUCCACCAUCUCAUCGAAAGACGGGACACCUUUGCCUCUAUCACGGUCGGUGCAAAAGGUGCACUUCCCAAGGUUACCAAACAAACGUGCAUCACGUAGAGCAAUAAAAACAGCACGUAAAUGUUCCAAAUGUUCUUCCAAAGAUCUGCUAUAAAUCAAUAUGUCAUCAAAGUAAACUACCACAAAUCGUCCAAUGAAAGCACGUAAAACUUCGUUCAUUAAUCUCAUGAAAGUACUAGGUGCAUUAGUUAACCCAAAAGGCAUGACUAACCACUCAUAUAAUCCAAACUUAGUUUUAAAUGCUGUUUUCCAUUCAUCUCCCAAUUUCAUACGAAUUUGAUGGUAGCCACUACGCAAAUCAACUUUGGAGAAUAUUGUAGAGCCACUCAAUUCAUCAAGCAUAUCAUCUAGCCUAGGAAUAGGAUGACGAUAACGAAUAGUAAUAUUAUUAAUGCCUCUACAAUCAACACACACACGUGAUGUACCAUCCUUUUUCGGCACUAGAAUAAUAGGAACGGCACAAGGACUAAGGGAUUCGCGUAUAUAACCUUUGUCGAGAAGCUCUUGUACUUGACGCAUAAUCUCCUUCGUCUCCUCUGGAUUAGUACGGUAUGGUGCACGGUUUGGCAGUGAAGCACCGGGAAUUAAGUCAAUCUGAUGCUCAAUCCCUCGAAUAGGCGGUAAUCCCGGUGGCACGUCUUGUGGAAAAACGUCAGCGAACUCCUGCAAAAUGUUAGUGACAGCAGGAGGCAAAGAGGAAGGCACGUCCUCGAAUGAAAAUAAUGCCUCUUUGCACACAAAAGCAUAGCAAACAGAUUUGCUGAAAUCUAGCUCAUCAAUAUCAGAUUUGGUGGCAAAUAAACAUGCACUUUUCAAUUUAAUUUCAGAAGCAACACUAGAUGGUUUAUUAUUAGGCUUCAUUUGUUGCUCAAAUUCUUUUGCCACAAUCUAAUUUUCACUCUUAUUCUUCUCCUGUUGUGCUUUAUUAGCUCUAUUAAUAUCAUCUUUCAAAAUGGAAUCAGGAGUCAUAGGAAGCAAAGUAAUAUUUUUAUCCUUAUGAACAAGAGUAUAGUGAUUGUUUCUACCAUGGUGUACAGAGUUUUUAUCAAAUUGCCAUGGUCUACCAAGUAAUAAGGAACAUGCUUGCAUAGGUACCACAUCACAAUCAACAUAAUCAGCAUAUGUAGAGAUACUAAAAUGCACACGAACAGUACGUGUUACCUUAACCUUGCCGCUGUUGUUGAACCAUUGGAUGUAGUAAGGAUGUGGAUGUGGUCUUGUGGUGAGUGAAAGCUUCUCCACCAUCUCCAUGCUAGCCAAGUUGUUGCAGCUCCCUCCGUCUAUUAUGACGCGCACAGAACGUUCCUUCACAACUCCCUUGGUAUGGAACAAAUUGUGCCUCUGAUUUUGCUCAGCUUGUGUGACCUGCACACUCAAAACACGUUGAGCAACUAAACAUUCAUACCUGUCAGCGUCUUCAGGAGCCAUGUAUUGCGUCUCAUGAUCAGAAUCAUCUCCACCAUGAUCUUCACGUGUAAUAAGAGCCAAUGUCUCCUCAUCAUAGUCACUAGCGGACUCAUAUCCACCAUCCGCGGUAGCAAUCAUCACACGCGGAGAUUUGCAUUCCCUCGCAUAAUGACCUCCUCCCUUACAACGACGACAAAUAAUAUCACUUGUGUGCCCUGUUGAUGCCAUGGAAGAAGAAGAACGCUGUGCAGGCCCCGCAGGUGCGCUCUUGGCAGAUAAUGGUGGUUGUGCCUGUUUUCUUGUAUCACGGCUGGAGGUGGCACCGGAUGGAGGUGCUGGUGCAGUUGAAGUAGAAGAUGCACGUGGUGUCCAUGAUGAAGGUCGGCCUGCAGAAAAGUUAGUUCGCCCCAAUGCUUGUCGAUCCUGCACUUCACGUUCAGCUUUACAAGCAAGAUGGAAUAAACGAGUGAUAUUAGUAUACUCCUUAUAGUCUAAAAUGGUCUGAAUCUCUCUAUUUAAUCCACCCAGAAAAUGUGCAAGCAUAGCUUCAUUCUCCUCAACAAUACCACAUCUAAUCAUGCCAGUUUGUAAUUCCUGAUAAUAUUCUUCUACAGAAUUUUUCCCUUGUCUUAAACGCUGCAAUUUUUGAAGCAAUUUGAUGAGGACAUCAAUACAAUUGUUACACCCACAGCCCCUGCUGCUAUACAUACUGGACCAAUUACUAGAGCUCGUGCACGCCAACUAAAUUACCAGGUACUUUCGUUUCUUGGUAAUGAUUCUAAUAUUCAUGAGAAUAUGAUGCUGCCUAAAUUGGAUACAUUUGUUUUGCUUACAAAUGAAGGGCCUAGCUUGGAGAAGGAUGAACAUUGGAGCAAGAACAAGCAUGGAGAUGAUGGCAUGCGCAAGGGGAACAAGAACGGAGUUACAAGUGAUGAUUUCAGGACUUUGAAGCCACCAUAAUGGGUGCAUGAAGCCUUGGACGAAAUAUACAAGAUGCCACUUCAUAAAUUUCGUCCCGAGGCUAUUUUAGGUGCUGCGUCACCUUAUUAUUGGGCCAGGCCCAUGUAAUUUCGAAAUACAUAAGUAUAGGCUAUUUUUAGAGUCCGUAUGUGUGGGGAAACAAGAGAUAGGGUUGAUUUCGGACCCCUCCACCAAGGGCCACGAAAUUCCCCCCUCUUCCUCCAUAUAUACAGCCCUUAGGGCAUCGUUUAGACUUUGGGUUUUGUUUAGAUUAAAAGUUCGCCAUAGCUGCAACUUCGCGUACUUCGUUUGUGUUCAACGACCAGACAAAGGCGUUACAGAACCCCACCUUGAUCAAUAAAGCUUUCAUCUUAUAUUCGCAAUAUCCAGAUUGCAAUCUUAGUUUCUUGCUUGUUCUUCGUUUGCUCGCAGGAAACAGACCCUCGUGGUCAGGUUGAUCGUGCUCCGGCGUGGUCAAUAACCUCUCGGAGUUGGUUUAGCGAUUGCUAAGGCGCGACGUCCUCGCACGUUCGUAGUCGGAUCAUCAAAGUCGACUUCCACCAAAGCGAUAUCCAUCAUCUCAUCGAAAGACGGGACACCUUUGCCUCUAUCAGUAGAAGGCUGAUGGAGCAUCUCUCAGCAAGAGGUGAAGUUUUAACCUUAGCUAGUGUAUCACCAGGAUCUGGAGUAGUACAUCCAGAAGUUUAAGGUGGAGCUCCAUGAAGCCGUAUUAGACAAGGAAGCAUUUCGUGAAGAACUCAGGAACCAAAAGCUAAAAGUAGCCAAGCUGGAGGAGCUACAACCUCGAGGUACCGGAGAUUUGUCAGGAACUGAAGGACAGUAGGACCAUGGUUCAUGUGAAGGAUGUUGAAACCAAAAGUUUGGAACGCAACUCCAGAAUAUUAAAGGACGUCACGAGAGACUUCGCGUCAACAGAGUUGAUCUAGCAAAAGAACUUGAGAAAGACAAGCAUGAUCGGAAGAAGCCAUUGGAGGCAUGAACAAGGCUUGAAGAGUUUGGAGAGUUGAAGAUUUAUUGACCUUUAAAAGACCAAACCCCUGUUAUAUACCUACGUUAGAUGCGACGUUUGUGAGCUGUCAUUUGUUUGAUGUUUUUCCCAAUGGCCACAAAUAAAAUCUGUCUUUUCAAAACUUUUGUUUGUAUUGUGUGUAUCCCUCUUUAUCUCUCUUAUCUCACCCCAAACCCAUGGACCCAAUAGAGGAUGAAUGAAGAUGAGCUUAUAUUUUCCUGGACCGAUAAGUCAAUUGGAGACGGACCGAUGGAUUCAGAACAUGGAGGAUCACAUGGAGAAUAACCCUAUAGUUGGAAAUGAUAUGACCCAGCAUGCUCUUUAGUGCUUUGAAAGAGGUGCUGCUACUUGGUGGAGGAUAUACCAAACCAUGAAUGGAUGGCAAGGAGUAACCACUUGGAGAGAAUUUAAGUUGACUAUGCCAAAGCCUCGGUUUGUGUCCCAAAAGUUGAAGCCUUAUGGAAAGGAUAUGAAGAAACCUUAUGCAUGCAAGAUUUAUGGAGAAAACGGACACACCCAUAAAGAACGCAAGGAUGAGUGCCCUAAUUGUGAAGGAAGUCACCCAAUUGAAGAAUGCCCAACUAGGCAGAUUACUUGUUUCUUGUGUGAAGGGAUUUCCCACUAUCCUACUUAGUGUCACAUUUACCCCAUGGUACGAAGGACCGUACAACAGAAGAAAGAAGUAAAGAAAGGAGCCCUUAUGGAAAUUUUAGAAGAACCCGUGAUGAAGGAAGAUGUGGAGGACACACCUAAAGAAUACCCGAGUAAACCCUGCACUAAGUCUUGCUAUUCAUGUGGAGAAGAAGGACACAUCUCCCAAAAUUGUUUGAUCGGGACCCUCGCCUCUAUCAGCAUCUAGUAGAAUUCCCGACAGAGGAAGUAGAGUAUGACCCACAAGAAAUAGAAGCCAUGAUUGGCAUGGAAAUUUCUAGGAAGAGAAGCAGAUUGGAUUCCAGGAAGGACCUGACUCAUAUCACCUGUUACAGGUGCAAGGAGUCAGGGCACUACCUCAACAGUUGCCCAAAAAGGAAACGUUGAGACUUGUCAAAAGUAAUAUGUUUUAAUGGAGCAGGGCACUUUGCCAGAGAAUGCCCUAAGGAGAAGGAAACUUGUGCUAGAUAGUCGAGUUUGCAACAAAAGAAAUGGAGUAGUAGAAGUGAGAACAUUUUUCUUCUAUAUUGAGGUGUUGAGUUGAGACAUGUAAUGGAGAAGCGAGAGAUUGUAAUCAUUUGAGAAUGAAUAAAGUAGCAUCGUUGGUACUGAUAUGGAUUUUAUGAGUUGUUACUCUAUGAAGAAGGAUUUUGACCAUUUUGAGGAUAAGAGAAAUAUGGUCUAUGGAAGAUUUGUGCAUUUUAAGGGUGGUAGUACCCUGUAAGAACCGUUGACCCCUAGAAAAGAUAAGGAUACUCCACUGAGUGGAUUUCGGACAAAAUGAAUACGAGUUUUGUCUCGAUAUGUGUGAUGCCCCAAGAGUAUGUAGGAUGAAGUUGGAGACCGUUAGUUGUUUGGACCAAAUGUGAUCAAGGAGUCAGAAUAGAAUGUUAAGUUGAUUCGAGAUAGACCGAAGGUAGCUCAGUCCAGGUAGAAGAGUUAUGCAGACUUAAAAACGCAAGGAGGUAGUCUAUGACAUUGGAGACAGAGCAUGUCUUCGCGUGUUCCCUCUGCGGGGAGUUAAACAAUUUAGAGUUAAGGGACAGUUAGCCCCGAGAUUUGUAGGACCAUACCGAGUUUUGGAGCGUAUGGGACAAGUGGCCAACAAGUUGGAGUCACCCGAAGGACUGUCAGGAGUUCAUGAUGUGUUUCACAUUUCCCAGUUGAAGAAGUGCCAUGCAGAGAUGGCCAAUAUUCCCCUGUAAGAACGCUUGACUCUGGAAAGGAUAAUGAUGUUCCACGAAGUGGAAUAUGGACUCCAUCAGUAUCAGUUUUUAUAUCGGUAUGUGGGAUACCCCACGAGGAUGAAGAGAUGAAUUACUAUUGGAUAUAAAGGAGGUAUGAUGUUGGAAAUAUGGAUCAAUGGAAACUCCAUUAUGAGUCUGAGUAAUCAUGUCCUAGUUUGGUGCCAAUAGAAGGAAGGAAGACAAUACAAUUGGAAAGAUUUAUGAAUACUAGGAAGUUGGAAGUUGGAAUAAUGAUCAGUUGCCCGAUGAUAAGUUCCAGGACUACAAGUGAUUGGCCAUAACUGAUAGAGGCAAAGGUGUCCCGUCUUUCGAUGAGAUGAUGGAUAUCGCUUUGGUGGCAGUCGACUUUGACGAUCCGACUACGAACGUGCGAGGACGUCGCGCCUUAGCAAUUGCUAAACCAACUCCGAGAGGUUAUUGACCACGCCGGAGCACGAUCAACCUGACCACGAGGGUCUGUUUCCUGCGAGCAAACGAAGAACAAGCAAGAAACUGAGAUUGCAAUCUGGAUAUUGCGAAUAUAAGAUGAAAGCUUUAUUGAUCAAGGUGGGGUUCUGUGACGCCUUUGUCUGGUCGCUGAACACAAACGAAGUACGCGAAGUUGCAGCUAUGGCGAACUUUUAAUCUAAACAAAACCCAAAGUCUAAACGAUGCCCUAAGGGCUGUAUAUAUGGAGGAAAGGGGGGGAAUUUCGUGCCCCUUGGUGGAGGGGUCCGAAAUCAACCCUAUCUUUUGUUUCCCCACACAUACGGACUCUAAAAAUAGCCUAUACUUAUGUAUUUCGAAAUUACAUGGGCCUGUCCCAAUAAUAAGGUGACGCAGCACCUAAAAUAGCCUCAGGACGAAAUUUAUGAAGUGGCAUCUUGUAUAUUUCGUCCAAGGCUUCAUGCACCCAUUAUGGUGGCUUCAAAGUCCUGAAAUCAUCACUUGUAACUCCGUUCUUGUUCCCCUUGCGCAUGCCAUCAUCUCCAUGCUUGUUCUUGCUCCAAUGUUCAGCCUUCUCCAAGCUAGGCCCUUCAUUUGUAAGCAAAACAAAUGUAUCCAAUUUAGGCAGCAUCAUAUUCUCAUGAACAUUAGAAUCAUUACCAAGAAACAAAAGUAGCUGGUAAUUUAGUUGGCGUGCACGAGCUCUAGUAAUUGGUUCAGUAUGUAUAGCAGCAGGGGCUGUGGGUCUAACAAUUGUAUUGAUGUCCUCAUCAUCCUCCCUUUCUUGAAAUGAAGUCGUCCUCGACGGAAGUUCAUCUUCCUCAUCCAAAUAAGGCUUCAAAUCUGCAAUGUUAAAAGUGGGACUAACCCCAAAAUAUGCAUUAUCAUUUAUUUUCUCCAACACCUUAAAGGGACCAUCAACACGUGGCAUUAACUUUGGUUUGCGCAAAUCAGGAAAUCUAUCCUUACGCAAAUGUAACCAAACAAGAUCUCCAGGUGCAAACACAACAUGUUUUCUACCCUUAUCUCCAGCAAGUUUAUAUUUAGCAUUCAUACGCUCAAUGUUUUCCUUAGUUAACUCAUGCAUUUUAAAAAUCAAUUCAGCACGUUGUUUAGCAUCAAAAUUAACCUUCUGCAAAGAUGGAAGAGGCAACAAAUCAAUAGGUGCACGAGGUAGGAAACCAUACACAACUUCAAAAGGGCACAUCUUAGUAGUAGAAUGCAAUGAACGAUUAUAAGCAAAUUCAAUAUGAGGCAAGCAUUCCUCCCACAUUUUCUUAUUAUUCUUCAAAAUAGCCCUAAGCAUAGUAGACAACGUUCUAUUGACUACUUCAGUUUGUCCAUCAGUUUCGGGGUGACAAAUAGUACUAAAAAGCAGUUUAGUCCCCAACUUAGCCCAUAAACAUCUCCAAAAGUGGCUAAGAAAUUUAGUAUCAUGAUCUGAAACAAUAGUAUUUGGCACACCAUGCAAGCGAAUAAUUUCACGAAAGAACAAAUCAGCAACAUUAACAACAUCAUCGCUUUUAUGACAUGGUAUAAAGUGUGCCAUUUUCGAGAAUCUAUCCACGACAACAAAUAUGCUAUCCCUCCCCUUCUUUGUUCGAGGUAAACCUAAAACAAAGUCCAUAGAUAUAUCCUCCCAAGGAACACUAGGUACAGGCAAAGGCAUAUAUAAACCAUGAGGAUUGAGUCGUGACUUAGCUUUUUGACAUGUAGUGCAGCGAGCAAUAAAACGCUCAACAUCCCCUCUCAUCUUUGGCCAAAAGAAAUGUGUAGCAAGUACGUCCUCCGUCUUCUUCAUGCCAAAGUGUCCCAUUAAUCCUCCUCCAUGCGCCUCCUGCAACAACAAAAGACGAACGGAGCUAGCUGGAACGCAUAGCUUGUUAGCACGAAACACAAAUCCAUCGUUAACGACGAACUUGUUCCACAUUCUUCCUUCUUUACAAUUCUGCAUUACAUCUUUAAGAUCAGCAUCAUGCACAUAUUGAUCUUUGAUGGUCUCCAAACCAAAUAUUUUGAAGUCAAGUUGUGAAAGCAUAGUAUAGCGACGAGACAAUGCAUCAGCAAUAACAUUUUCUUUUCCCUUCUUGUGUUUAAUGACAUAAGGGAAAGUCUCAAUGAAUUCAACCCAUUUAGCAUGUCUACGAUUCAGUUUAGCUUGACUUUUAAUAUGUUUCAAAGAUUCAUGAUCAGAAUGUAUAACAAAUUCUUUGGGCCAUAAAUAAUGUUGCCAUGUUUCUAAAGUCCGAACAAGAGCAUAUAAUUCUUUAUCAUAAGUAGAAUAAUUCAGACUAGGCCCACUCAAUUUUUCAGAAAAGUAUGCAACAGGUUUGCCAUCUUGUAAUAACACACCUCCUAAUCCAAUUCCACUAGCAUCACAUUCAAGCUCAAAAGUCUUAUUAAAAUCAGGAAGUUGGAGUAAGGGAGCAUGUGUCAACUUAUCUUUCAAUACCGUGAAGGCUUCUUCCUGUGCGGUACCCCAAACAAAAGGCACAUCCUUCUUUGUAAGCUCGUUGAGAGGUGCAGCAAUGGUGCUGAAAUCUCUCACAAAACGCCUAUAGAAUCCAGCGAGGCCAAGAAAACUCCUCACUUGUGUGACCGUUUUGGGCUGCGGCCAACUCUCAAUAGCUUCAAUCUUGGCUUUGUCAACUUCAAUUCCCUGUGGAGUAACAACAUAGCCAAGAAAAGAUACUCGGUCGGUGCAAAAGGUGCACUUCCCAAGGUUACCAAACAAACGUGCAUCACGUAGAGCAAUAAAAACAGCACGUAAAUGUUCCAAAUGUUCUUCCAAAGAUCUGCUAUAAAUCAGUAUAUCAUCAAAAUAGACUACCACAAAUCGUCCAAUGAAAGCACGUAAAACUUCGUUCAUUAAUCUCAUGAAAGUACUAGGCGCAUUAGUUAACCCAAAAGGCAUGACUAACCACUCAUAUAAUCCAAACUUAGUUUUAAAUGCUGUUUUCCAUUCAUCUCCCAAUUUCAUACGAAUUUGAUGGUAGCCACUACGCAAAUCAACUUUGGAGAAUAUUGUAGAGCCACUCAAUUCAUCAAGCAUAUCAUCUAGCCUAGGAAUAGGAUGACGAUAACGAAUAGUAAUAUUAUUAAUGCCUCUACAAUCAACACACAUACGUGAUGUACCAUCCUUUUUCGGCACUAGAAUAAUAGGAACAGCACAAGGACUAAGGGAUUCGCGUAUAUAACCUUUGUCGAGAAGCUCUUGUACUUGACGCAUAAUCUCCUUCGUCUCCUCUGGAUUGGUAUGGUAUGGUGCACGGUUUGGCAGUGAAGCACCGGGAAUUAAGUCAAUCUGAUGCUCAAUCCCUCGAAUAGGCGGUAAUCCCGGUGGCACGUCUUGUGGAAAAACGUCAGCGAACUCCUGCAAAAUGUUAGUGACAGCAGGAGGCAAAGAGUGAUAGAGGCAAAGGUGUCCCGUCUUUCGAUGAGAUGGUGGAUUUCGCUUUGGUGGAAGUCGACUUUGACGAUCCGACUACGAACGUGCGAGGACGUCGCGCCUUAGCAAUCGCUAAACCAACUCCGAGAGGUUAUUGACCACGCCGGAGCACGAUCAACCUGACCACGAGGGUCUGUUUCCUGCGAGCAAACGAAGAACAACCAAGAAACUAAGAUUGCAAUCUGGAUAUUGCGAAUAUAAGAUGAAAGCUUUAUUGAUCAAGGUGGGGUUCUGUGACGCCUUUGUCUGGUCGUUGAACACAAACGAAGUACGCGAAGUUGCAGCUAUGGCGAACUUUUAAUCUAAACAAAACCCAAAGUCUAAACGAUGCCCUAAGGGCUGUAUAUAUGGAGGAAGAGGGGGGAAUUUCGUGGCCCUUGGUGGAGGGGUCCGAAAUCAACCCUAUCUCUUGUUUCCCCACACAUACGGACUCUAAAAAUAGCCUAUACUUAUGUAUUUCGAAAUUAUAUGGGCCUGGCCCAAUAAUAAGGUGACGCAGCACCUAAAAUAGCCUCGGGACGAAAUUUAUGAAGUGGCAUCUUGUAUAUUUCGUCCAAGGCUUCAUGCACCCAUUAUGGUGGCUUCAAAGUCCUGAAAUCAUCACUUGUAACUCCAUUCUUGUUCUUGCUCCAAUGUUCAUCCUUCUCCAAGCUAGGCCCUUCAUUUGUAAGCAAAACAAAUGUAUCCAAUUUAGGCAGCAUCAUAUUCUCAUGAACAUUAGAAUCAUUACCAAGAAACGAAAGUACCUGGUAAUUUAGUUGGCGUGCACGAGCUCUAGUAAUUGGUCCAGUAUGUAUAGCAGCAGGGGCUGUGGGUGUAACAAUUGUAUUGAUGUCCUCAUCACAAAGUGUCCCAUUAAUCCUCCUCCAUGCGCCUCCUGCAACAACAAAAGACGAACGGAGCUAGCUGGAAUGCAUAGCUUGUUAGCACGAAACACAAAUCCAUCAUUAACGACAAACUUGUUCCACAUUCUUCCUUCUUUGCAAUUCUGCAUUACAUCUUUAAAAUCAGCAUCAUGCACAUAUUGAUCUUUGAUGGUCUCCAAACCAAAUAUUUUGAAGUCAAGUUGUGAAAGCAUAGUAUAGCGACGAGACAAUGCAUCAGCAAUAACAUUUUCUUUUCCCUUCUUGUGUUUAAUGACAUAAGGGAAAGUCUCAAUGAAUUCAACCCAUUUAGCAUGUCUACGAUUCAGUUUAGAUUGACUUUUAAUAUGUUUCAAAGAUUCAUGAUCAGAAUGUAUAACAAAUUCUUUGGGCCAUAAAUAAUGUUGCCAUGUUUCUAAAGUCCGAACAAGAGCAUAUAAUUCUUUAUCAUAAGUAGAAUAAUUCAGACUAGGCCCACUCAAUUUUUCAGAAAAGUAUGCAACAGGUUUGCCAUCUUGUAAUAACACACCUCCUAAUCAAAUUCCACUAGCAUCACAUUCAAGCUCAAAAGUCUUAUUAAAAUCAGGAAGUUGGAGUAAAGGAGCAUGUGUCAACUUAUCUUUCAAUACCGUGAAGGCUUCUUCCUGUGCGGUACCCCAAAGAAAAGGCACAUCUUUCUUUGUAAGCUCAUUGAGAGGUGCAGCAAUGGUGCUGAAAUCUCUCACAAAACGCCUAUAGAAUCCAGCGAGGCCAAGAAAACUCCUCACUUGUGUGACCGUUUUGGGCUGCGGCCAACUCUCAAUAGCUUCAAUCUUGGCUUUAUCAACUUCAAUUCCCUGUGGAGUAACAACAUAGCCAAGAAAAGAUACUCGGUCGGUGCAAAAGGUGCACUUCCCCAGGUUACCAAACAAACGUGCAUCACGUAGAGCAAUAAAAACAGCACGUAAAUGUUCCAAAUGUUCUUCCAAAGAUCUGCUAUAAAUCAAUAUGUCAUCAAAGUAAACUACCACAAAUCGUCCAAUGAAAGCACGUAAAACUUCGUUCAUUAAUCUCAUGAAAGUACUAGGUGCAUUAGUUAACCCAAAAGGCGUGACUAACCACUCAUAUAAUCCAAACUUAGUUUUAAAUGCUGUUUUCCAUUCAUCUCCCAAUUUCAUACGAAUUUGAUGGUAGCCACUACGCAAAUCAACUUUGGAGAAUAUUGUAGAGCCACUCAAUUCAUCAAGCAUAUCAUCUAGCCUAGGAAUAGGAUGACGAUAACGAAUAGUAAUAUUAUUAAUGCCUCUACAAUCAACACACAUACGUGAUGUACCAUCCUUUUUCGGCACUAGAAUUGAUGGAGGCGGGGUGUCCCGAUCUUUCGAUGAGAUGAUAACUAUCGAUUAGGUGGAGACGAUUUUGACGAUCCGACUACAAACGUGCAUGACGUUGUGCCUUAGCAAUCGCUAAACCAACUCCGAGAGGUUAUUGACCACGCCGGAGCACAAUCAACCUGACCACGAAGGUCUAUUCCUGCAAGCAAUCGAAGAACAAGGAAGAAUAUGAUAAAAGCAAUCUGAAUAUCGCGAGUAUGUAUGAAGUAUUGAUAAAGGUGGGGAUCCGUAAGCGGUCUUGGUCUGGUCGUUGGACACAAACGAAGUACACGAAGUUGCAAUGGCUAACUUUUAACUAAACAAAUCCCCAGGAAAAGCUACUAGAUGGAUCUACUUAUAUAGGAGCAAGGGGUGGCGGCCAAGGAGGUGGGAGGACGUCGCAAGGCAGCCUAAAACUAAAUCUAGGUCGUACAAGGCCAAUGGGCCCAAGUGGAGGUGAUGUAACACCUUUGGACUUGUAGUUUGACUCGGAUUCUGCUGCAGCAUCAGAUUGUUUCGUCCACAACUCAACGCUCCGGACGAAUUUGAAGGUCAUUCCAAUUGGGUUGGAAAGUGCACGAAAUCUAGUUUCCAACAAAAAAAGAAUCACCCAAUUCGGAGUCCGUAUAAAAAACUUGUGUGCGUUUUGAGUCAGGUAUGUCUGUGCAGUCCGAAUCUGAAUCCAGAACGUGAGAGACUUGGACUCUAUCUUCUCUUGGGCCAAAAGUGACGUGAGAGAACUUUUUGGACAGCAAAUAUACAUCUCUUUCUUCCUUAUCUUCAUAUGUGGAUUGUACAAAUGUCCCAUACACCUGCAAUUAGACAAAACACAAAAGUGUGUGAAGUAUUUUUGUUCUGGAUAACGUAAAUAGAUUAUUGAAUAGUUUGCACUAGAAAUCACCUGACAAAUAUGCAUAUAUGCAAUAUUUUUGGUCAUAUCCAAGGUAGUCAUGUCCUCAUCAUCCUCCCCUUCUUGAAAAUAAAGCCGUCCUCGGCGUUGCUUAAUCUGAAAUGUGGCUAACAAAAGAGACAAGGUGUACAUGUUGUAUAUGUAUAUGUCAUCCAUUUUUACUUCCCUUGAUUUUUGCAUAUAUGACACAUGAAUAGGUGAGUAACUUGCAUAGUUCAUAAAAUCUAAAGCCAAAAAAUUAGCACAAGAAGUAGAAGGCAUGAAAAUAUUGCAACUCAGUUUGCACAUAUAAGUGAAGCUCUUAUUCAUUUCAAAAGAUUGACAAUGUUCAUCAUUAAACCAUCCCAACAUUGGUGAAUAAACCUUACUUGCAUCAAAUUUACAUGCUACAACAUGCUUAAAUAAUCAAACAUGCAAUAAGUCAUUCAACACAGAAUCAUCACCAAGAUUAGAGGUCAUAUCAAAAUGAUUAAACAUUGGUUCUUUUGCAUCAAUAGUUAAUUCAAUGGGUGCACUCAAAAUUGUUGGUAUUUCAGUUGUUUGAUCACAUGGCAAAGUCAAAUUAUCAACGUAGUCCUCUAAAAUAGGUGGUGUGAUCAAAGUAAUGGGUAGCUCAUCAGAUGGUGCAUUCAAAUUGACAAGGCAUUCAUCAUUCUCAUGUAGAGAUGGAAGAUCAGUACCUUUGUCAUUACCUCUUAUGAUCAACUCAGAUGAUGUAGCCACUCUCGGGGGCGAUGUGUCACAUGGUGGAGGUGAUGUAGUCCUGACAACAACGGAUGUGGUUGUCAUAGUAUGCCUAGUAGUUGAAGGAACAAUCAUAUCAACUCUUGGAAUGUGCACCGUGCGCUUGUUCUCCUCGUGGCCAACACGUCGUUUUAUUUCCUGUUCAGCUUUGCAAGCAAGAUGAGACAAAUGGUCCAUAGGAUAACACUCUUUAUGAAUUAGUAUCUCUUGAAUAUCACGAUUUAAUCCUCCCCAAAAUCUAUCCAUAAAAUCAUCUUCACUUUCUUCUAAAGAGGAAUGCAACAAGGUAGUUUGUAAAUCAUCAUAAUAUUUUGGUACAGUUUCACUACCUUGUUUUAAGUGUUGCAACUUCUUAAUCAUGUCACGAGUAUAAUAAGCAGGGACGAAAGUAUGUCGCAUGGCAAGUUUCAAAUCAUCCCAAGUAGUAGGUAUAUAAUCAGGGUGUAACCGACAAUAUUCACUCCACCAAACCAAAGCAUAACCAGUGAAAGAACCAACCGCAACCUUAACCUUUUUAUGUUCAUCGAAAUUAUGGGAAGCAAAUAUAUUUUUUAUGUCGAACUCCCAUUCAAUACAUAAAGCAGGUUUAAAACGGCCAUUAAAUGGUGGUAUAGAUACAUUAACCUGAUCAUGUGCAUUUGGAUGUUUGUGCACCUCUCGUGACGGUUGUGGUAUUUGCAAAGGUGGUGGCACGUCUCCCGCGAUCGACAAAGCCCAUGAAUUGACUCUGGAUCCUGUCAUGAUUAGUAGAACAAGAAACAAAACCCAAAAAUAAUGUUCCUAUAACUACUAGGAUGUGGUGGUAAAACGCUCACAGUAAAGCAAAUAUCAAUGUCUUACAAGUUCUUACCAUGCAGCAGGCGGUGAUCGGCAACCAGCGCUGUCAAGUAACUCCGAAUAUUUUGUAAAGUGAUUGCUAGGGGAGCGUACCUAUACACGGUGUAGAAAUAUGUGGAGCUGGGUUGGCUAUAUAUGGUAGCAAAAGAUUAGCAAUAAUCAAUUCAAAGAUGCAAUGUUGAAUAAAUGCUCAACGACGGUACUGUGCUGGUCCUAGGCUAGACCGGACUAGAGACGCGAGCCUAGAACACUAAUAAGGUCACGGCGUAGCACAACUAGCAUCAAUGAAGGAUACUAAGCAGCUCUUGACAGCAAGAUAUAAGUGAAGAUCACAACGGCAGUGAAGAUAAUGAUGAAAAACAACUGCCAAGCAGGAUAUACAACAACUCUCUCUCCAACUUUCCUCUUGAAAAGUUUGAGACAAUUUUCUGAUAAAUUCUUUCAAAGAAUGCUACUAACUCAAGCUUUCAAAUGCAAAAAGAAUCACUCAAUUCCGAGUUGAUAUGAGGAGUCAAAGAAUUCUAAAACUGGCCUGAAAAAUUGGAACAAGCUGUGUUCACGAACUUCGGAGGGCAAAAAGACCUAUUUAGAAGCCGAUUUUGAGGUGUCAAAUAUUGAACAAUCUUCUGCAACUAUUUAGAUGCGGCUCGUUGCUAUCUUCAAUUUGAGUACUCACGGAGCCAAAACGGACUUCGCAUGAGGAAGAUACACCUGUUUUACUGAACAGUGCGCAAAACAGAUUCCAAUCCGAAUUCAGAUACGAGAUUGAUUCUAGAUAGAUCCAAUUUUUUUUCUUCUCUCUUUUUUUUCUCACGCUUUUUUUUUCUUUUUCUUCUCCCUCUUUUUCUUUUUUUUUCUUUCCUUUUUUCUCUCUUUUUUUUUCUUUAUCUUCUUUUUCUCCCUCUUUCCAAGACAAACUAGAUAAGAUGCAGAUUCGAUCAGGCGAAGAUGUGAGUGACCUCAACUAUGAUUAUGACAAUAAACAGUGCGUAGCACAUGGUGGAAAUUGGUGGAUAGGAUGGUGGACAGCGGAUGGGAUAAUGAUGCAGCGGCUGCGUGACUAAUGUGAACAGAACUCGAAACUCUAAAGGAACUAGACACUAAGACCAGCAACUCGACACGGCGAUGCAACCGAUAAUUCAAUAAUGCAAACAAUGAAAAGAAAAUUGCAAAGGCUCAGUCUGGCUAGGACAAAGGAUGAAUAGAUCUAACUUUUGUUUUGUGGCUUUUUCUUGGACAAUAGGUAAGAAAAUAAAUCUAAUUUGGAAAAACUGGAAAUUCUCACCGAGCAACCUGAAAACUGAUACCACUUGAUAGAGGCGGGGUGUCCCGAUCUUUCAAUGAGAUGAUAACUAUCGAUUUGGUGGAGACGACCUUGACGAUCCGACUACAAACGUGCACGACGUUGUGCCUUAGCAAUCGCUAAACCAACUCCGAGAGGUUAUUGACCACGCCGAAGCACAAUCAACCUGACCACAAAGGUCUAUUCCUGCAAGCAAUCGAAGAACAAGCAAGAAUAUGAUAAAAGCAAUCUGAAUAUUGCGAGUAUGUAUGAAGUAUUGAUAAAGGUGGGGAUCCGUAAGCGGUCUUGGUCUGGUCGUUGGACACAAACGAAGUACACGAAGUUGCAAUGGCUAACUUUUAACUAAACAAAUCCCCCGGAAAAGC